GUGCUCAUUUCAGCAACAUGUAUAAUAAAAUUGGAAUGAUACAGAGGUUAGCAUGGCCCCUGCACAAGAGUGACAUGCAGAUUGGUGAAGUGUUCCAUAGGAAG
This is a small nuclear RNA of Phyllostomus discolor (pale spear-nosed bat), 104 nucleotides long. NCBI's taxonomy places the organism in Eukaryota, Metazoa, Chordata, Mammalia, Chiroptera, Phyllostomidae. The record is from RefSeq and is a predicted model, not a curated record.